RNAcentral lists this ribosomal RNA (444 nucleotides) under uncultured Bryobacterales bacterium. Its description in RNAcentral is "bacterial SSU rRNA". It matches the Rfam family "Bacterial small subunit ribosomal RNA", at positions 335 to 796 of the family's 1533-position model. The record is from RNAcentral. Lineage: Bacteria; Pseudomonadati; Acidobacteriota; Terriglobia; Bryobacterales.
UCUCCUACGGGUGGCAGCAGUGGGGAAUCUUGCACAAUGGGGGAAACCCUGAUGCAGCGACGCCGCGUGAGCGAUGAAGCCCUUCGGGGUGUAAAGCUCUUUCGACAGGGACGAUUAUGACGGUACCUGGAGAAGAAGCUGCGGCUAACUACGUGCCAGCAGCCGCGGUAAUACGUAGGCAGCAAACGUUGUUCGGAGUUACUGGGCGUAAAGAGUACGUAGGCGGUUUGCCAAGUUUGGUGUGAAAUCUCCCGGCUUAACUGGGAGGGUGCGCCGAAAACUGGCGAGCUUGAGUGUGGGAGAGGGAAGCGGAAUUCCUGGUGUAGCGGUGAAAUGCGUAGAUAUCAGGAGGAACACCGGUGGUGUAGACGGCUUCCUGGACCACAACUGACGCUGAGGUACGAAAGCGUGGGUAGCAAACAGGAUUAGAUACCCCUGUAGUCU